GUGGGGAAUUUUGGACAAUGGGCGCAAGCCUGAUCCAGCAAUGCCGCGUGUGUGAAGAAGGCCUUCGGGUUGUAAAGCACUUUUGGCAGGAAAGAAAUAGUGCGUGCUAAUACCAUGCGCGAAUGACGGUACCUGCAGAAUAAGCACCGGCUAACUACGUGCCAGCAGCCGCGGUAAGACGUAGGGUGCAAGCGUUAAUCGGAAUGACUGGGCGUAAAGCGUGCGCAGGCGGUUUUGUAAGACAGGUGUGAAAUCCCCGGGCUCAACCUGGGAACUGCACUUGUGACUGCAAGGCUAGAGUGUGUCAGAGGGAGGUGGAAUUCCGCGUGUAGCAGUGAAAUGCGUAGAGAUGCGGAGGAACACCGAUGGCGAAGGCAGCCUCCUGGGAUAACACUGACGCUCAGGCACGAAAGCGUGGGGAGCAAACAGGAUUAGAUACCCCAGUAGUCC
This 450-nucleotide ribosomal RNA is filed under the name uncultured bacterium. Its description in RNAcentral is "partial 16S ribosomal RNA". It matches the Rfam family "Bacterial small subunit ribosomal RNA", at positions 354 to 796 of the family's 1533-position model. The record is from RNAcentral.